This is a long non-coding RNA of Brassica oleracea var. oleracea, 591 nucleotides long. RefSeq lists it as uncharacterized. Lineage: Eukaryota; Viridiplantae; Streptophyta; Magnoliopsida; Brassicales; Brassicaceae. The transcript has 3 exons. The record is from RefSeq and is a predicted model, not a curated record.
CUGAAGUGAAUGGAUUUGAAUCUGUUUUUCAAUUUGGACUUCAGAAUAUUCUCGAGUUUUUCUUUGGAAGAGUGUCGUGGUAAGUUGAUUUUUUUAAGCUAGUUGUGAGUUGAGCUUUAUAAGCGUUAACCAAUUAGGUUCUCGUUGUUGAAUAAAUAAAGAACCAUAUGACGAUUGAUCUGAUAACUGUGGAGUGUCUAAGAGGGAGACUACUUGCAGAGAGGCAAGUUUCAAGGUCUGCUAAAGAAGAAGCAGAGCUCAUUACCAGAAGGAUGAAAGAGCUGGAGAAACAUCUGAAAGAAGAGAUCAGAUUAAGGGAGAAAACAGAGAAGAGACUCAAGUUUCUGAUGAAAAAAGCUUGAAUUCAUUAAAGGAUCAUCACACUGUUCUGAGGAUUCAGAGCAAUCCAGUUCAUCUGAAGCUUCUUGUUUGUCAUCAGUUUCCACUUCAGCAACCAAAGAAGAAGAAAAAGAAUCUCAUGAAAAUGGAUUUGUGGAGGAAGAUGAAAUUAAUCAAGCAACUAAAAAAAUGUUUCCUCCGUUGAAAAAGAGUCACGUUCAAAGCUCAUAGAUCUUUCUUCUGGUGAAGAGA